CUCGUCUGAAAAUGGAACAUACUGCAUGACAUCACAGCCAUUCCUCCAUGUGUUUCUGUUGAAAACUUUGGAACUUUUAAAGGAGAAUUGUUGACGUCACUUUGAUGUUUUUGAUGCUAGCUGUACGUUGGUCUGUCCAGCACCUGUUGUUAUGUUUGGACUUGAUCCUUGAUGACAUGUAUCAACACUUCUCAUCUUCAGUGUCGCGUCUAAACACAGCACCCCCUGCUGUUCAGACUAUGUAGUGACGUUGGCAAUGAACGUGUGAAAAAAUCAGAUCCAAACUUUUUACUUGCAACGCUUUGCACAUGCGUAGCUCUUAGUAGUAAAAUUGUACAUUUGUCAUUUCUUCCGCAUGUGCCUCUCGUUAUGGCCUGACCUUGCCCUGUUAAAGUCCUGCCCUGGCUAUGCAUUUCACAAAGACAUUUGUAAACACACGCGUCAUGCUACAUAACAGUACAUUUGCUAAUAGCUCAAUAUUAAUGCUACUGUUACUAAAUAGCUUGUUUGCAGCGUAACUGAUGCUAGUGCUUUGCCGAAAGCAGCACCAGUGUUGGAAAAUUAGCCAACGUUACAUACAGUAGGUAGCCUGGUAUCCUGAGUGGAGGAUGUUGUGGCAGAAUGGAAUUCACCGUUACAUGAAGGACAAUGCAAGUGUGUGCGGUGUGUUAGUGAGGGUCCAGAUGUUAAUUUUUUAUUUUAUUUUUUUAUUUUACCAAAGCCAUGUUUUUUAAUGUCCACCAUUUGUUGUUUUUUAAUGUGCAUGUCAAAACAUGCUCAUGUAGAACAGUGUUUCUCUGAAUAUAUUUCCCUUUCCAAGUACGACCAACUAGAUUUACUAUAGAAAAAAGAAUUUAUUCCUAUUUUUAAGCUAAAGCUAAAGUAGUACUACAAUUGGUAUUUAAAUUAAAUUCUAAACUGUACCACUAAAAGGCGCCCAAUCAAAGGCUGCAUGGGUUCCGUGCUAACCUGAGGUGUGUGUUUGUCCUGAGGUUGGACUCUACUGUUUCCUGUGUCGCUGCAGCUGUUAUCUGUCGUACUAAUAUGCAAUAACUGUUGUGUGUUUGUAGUGUGCGUCCUCAGACUGUACUCCUCAUAUCUGGACACUGAUACACUUUGGUGUUUUUUUUUUUUUUUGUCACUGCAUGAAACUGGUGUCGACUUUAAAACAGACAAAUGUCAAACAUGGAACACUCCACUUUCCUCUGAACACACUGGUGGAUCUCAGACGUCACUUUGCUACGAAACCUGAAAAAACUGAAGAUAAUGUGUCAAAUUCACAGCGAGCAUGAAAAAAAAAUCUGCUGUGGAAUAUGUGAGGAUUUCGACUUCAUGUUAGAGUAAGGAAUGAGUAUUUGUCUGCACUCAAGGGUGAAUAAUUUAAAAGAUUGAAAAGGUACACAAUAAACUGUUUUAUACUUUCCUCUUUUCAUACCUUCCUUCCGUCUAUCCUUUAUUCCUAAAUUCCUUUCCCCCUUCUCUUUAGUCACUGUUUUAUUCUUUUGAAAUUUCUUGCUUUUAUUUUAGACAUCUCCUUUCCUUCCCUUUUCCCUCUGUCACUGCUUCUCCCUGAUUCUAUACAUGUCUUUUAUUCUUCCCUUCUGUCUCUGUUUUUUCCACUGUCUUAUUUCCUCUCCUUUUUGUGUGUCUUCCUCUAUUCUUGUUUCCGCUUAGCCCCUUUCUCUCACUCUCUCUCUUUUAAUACACCAGGGAAUCCCUAAGUCUUCCCCAAACAUGUAAAACAUCCUCUCUGCAGUCUACUCCCUCCCCCUCCCUCCAUCACAGUCUCCUGUUUUUCCUCCUCCUCUUUUGAUGAUCUGCAUUGCAGUACCUACCUUCCUUCCUCUAUUCGAUCAGCAGCAGGUUGACGCUUCUUUCCUUUGUCACUGGUGCUUUGGCGCCCUCCACUGAGCAUCAGCUGGAACUACAGAAGCUGAUCAUAGGUCAGCUGAUCGUAUACUGUAGUUUGAGAACCGUUGUUCCAGUAAAGUCUGAAAAAAGUUACGGAGACCUCAGAUAAGUUGCUCCUCUGGUGGGCAAAAAUUGUAACUGCAACUGGCUGGGUAAUAUAUUUUUAAACGGGCAACGAUAGUUCACUCCCCUCUUUCUUCCCUCCUGUUCCAAGCCCCGCCCACAUCCAAACUUUCUAUCUCAGGUGUCAUAGCAACAGGUGAAGUCUCCCAUCUGAUUGGCUGCCAGCCCUGGACUCAGCAUCAGUCAGAAGUGCUGAGCGGAGUCUGUUUUUUGUUGUUUUAAACCCAGCACCACCUCCUCCCGGGCCCUUUCCCUCUUUAUGUCUUUCUGUUGUUCAGCUGGUUUGUGUUUGUGUACCGACUGAAGCUUCUAGCCUGAGGGGAAAAAGAAAAACUGCAGCGUUGGACCAUAUAUGUGCCUCUGCGCUGACGCCAGGGGCAGAAGCUAACAAAUGUGCGGGGUGAAUUGGUUUCCUAAGGGGACGCUCCUGAGAAGCUGGCUGACCAAGUCGCGUCCGCGGUUACUGCUGCUGAUCGCAGGGUUGAAGAAGCCUCAGGUGACGCUAAUGAGGAGGAAGAGGAUGAAACGCACCAAAGUAGCAAAGGCCACGUAAGCGCACCUGCAAUCGAAUGCCUCACUUCACCUGAGCCCUGGAUGGAGACGACUUCCUGGGUGAGAAUGGCCGCCACAGACGAGGAGGUGAAGCCUCAGGUCAAACGAACUCAAUGUCAGGAACAGCAUGAAAAAGUGACACAGGAGGACAAACCACAGAAACCAAGGCCUCCAGACUGAGGAGGAUUCAAACCUGACUCACUUUUUCACUUCAGUAAUGGACUCGUCAGAAAAAUCCAGGGGGCGCUCAUUCAUUCGCUCACAUUUUCUUAGGUUUCCAAAAGAAAAUUCAACUGCUAAUUAAACUCUGUGAUGUUA
Molecule: long non-coding RNA, 2904 nt
Organism: Cynoglossus semilaevis (tongue sole)
Lineage: Eukaryota; Metazoa; Chordata; Actinopteri; Pleuronectiformes; Cynoglossidae
Exons: 3
Source: RefSeq, a predicted model, not a curated record